This 72-nucleotide transfer RNA is filed under the name Leptolyngbya sp. NIES-2104. RNAcentral's name for it is "tRNA-Lys". It matches the Rfam family "tRNA". From Rfam's summary of the family: Transfer RNA (tRNA) molecules are approximately 80 nucleotides in length. Their secondary structure includes four short double-helical elements and three loops (D, anti-codon, and T loops). Further hydrogen bonds mediate the characteristic L-shaped molecular structure. tRNAs have two regions of fundamental functional importance: the anti-codon, which is responsible for specific mRNA codon recognition, and the 3' end, to which the tRNAs corresponding amino acid is attached (by aminoacyl-tRNA synthetases). tRNAs cope with the degeneracy of the genetic code in two manners: having more than one tRNA (with a specific anti-codon) for a particular amino acid; and 'wobble' base-pairing, i.e. permitting non-standard base-pairing at the 3rd anti-codon position. Lineage: Bacteria; Bacillati; Cyanobacteriota; Cyanophyceae; Leptolyngbyales; Leptolyngbyaceae. The record is from RNAcentral.
GAGACGUUGGCAUAGUGGCUGUGCAUCGGAUUUUUAAUCCGACUUAGGUAGGUUCGAUUCCUACACGUCUCA